UCCUCACUAACGCACCAAGCCCAUUGGUCGAGCACCAAACCGCCCCCCCAAUAACCUGAACGCAAGUCAAGAAAGAGCAAAAUGACUCAAUACUCAUGAUCACAAAUGGUGAGUUCCGCACCAGAAAAGAUAUCACAAAGCAAAACUUCCCAUUUUAAGUAUCUCACUUUCACAAGACAUCCAUAAGGACAUUGUUAUGGCCCUUAUCUCACAAUCUCCAACAAAACAAAAAUCCACAACUCUAGUACUCCACUUUAUAGAUGUUAUGUAACGUAUCACUAAUAAUUUACAAACUUAAAGAUGGAAAUAAAACUACCAGGUCAAAAAAAUUCUAUAAACAUGACAUAUUCAAUGAAUUUGAUGGAAAACUAGGAUUACAAUAUAGCUAUACUAAAUGAUUAUAGUUUGUCCAUUUCGAAAGAGAACUUCAUAUACGAAGAAUUUCUCAUGAUACUUUCUUUGAAGAUUUGCUUUUAUGAUUCUCUUUAACCUCUCUAUGAUGUUAUUUUCAUUGCUGAAAGCACCAUGAAAGAAGUGGUAAUAUCAUCAGAACAGAAACUAAAAAGUUGAUAAAGUUCAAGUAUCCUAUAUUGCAAAUUGAUAGUGUGUUUUGUCCAACUUAUUACUAUAUUUUCUGCACUAAACAAUUUCAGAUAAAUUCGGAAAAAUUUAUUUUAGUACUAAUAAUUACGAUGCAGCAGUGAUAAGUUCAGAUAAAAAUAGUAUGAUGAUUUCAGAGCCUAAGCACCUACUACACUUAAGAAAUUAUAAUUUAUGUUGAGAUUAAUGGUGUGACUUGAGUGCACUAUCAUGCAUUCAUGUGUGACUCAUGGGAUGGAAUCCUAUGGAGUAAGUUAAUGGGUGUAUUAAGUUGGUGAAUGGAGUAAGUUAAUGGGUGUAUUAAGUUGGUGACUUAAUGUGGUGGUUUAUAAUGGAGUUUAAGUGUAUAUAUUUUAAUUCAUGAAGUUAUGAGGGGAUGAAAAGGACUUAAACAUAUGGUAUAAUGAUGCUAGUUAAGUAUGUGGUAAAUGUGAUUAAUGAAGGAGUUCAUGAGUCAGAGUAUCUAGUGUUGUACGAUGUGCUCGAACAAGGCACUCAUAGAAGAAUCCUUGCCUUGAACGAGCAUCACAAACAGAAGCUGACAAAAUGCGGCAAAACAGGCUGCUCGAACAAGCAAGCAGCAGGUAGAAGAUCAGUAGCUCCAGUAGUUUGCUGCUCAAACAAGCUCCUCAUAGCUCGAACGAGCACUUUCAAGAUCAGUGCAUUGGAUUCCAAUUUCGACAGUUCAAGUUCUGAAUUUGUUUAAUUGUGCAUUAAUCCAUAAGUCUUAAUCAUGCAAUAUUCUUUAAUGUAAUGACUCCUAUAAAUAGGGAGCUCCAAUGAACAUCAAAGUCAUCAAAAUACAAACCCCAAGCCUAAAAACAUAGCCUUUGCAUUCUCUUACAUCAUUUGUAAUACUUCAUUGUAAGAGUUGUAUUUCUCUAUUGUUAUAAUAUAAACAAGACACUACACAUCACGGAGGACGUAGCCAUCAUUGGACGAACCUCCUUAAAUCUUUGUGUUCUUUUGCAUUGUUUUAUUUCCUUUAAACAUUGUCAUAGUCAUUGAAUUUCAAUCGGUUCAUCAAGAUGCUUCAAACCUUGCGAUCUUGGUAACAUUAGAGGUUAAGUUCUAUACUUAGACUCUAAUCAAGCAAUUAUUUUAAUUUAAAAUAGAGAAAAUUAUAAGGAACUACCAAUUCUAUAGCACCUUUUGCAAAAAACUACUUAAUCUAAUUUUUUUUGCAAAAAAACUACCUUACAUGAUAUUGUUGUUUGCAAAAGACAACCACUUGACGAAAUCAGUUAGUUGACCGUCAAGUGUGUCUUUGACCUUGCACGUGACAGGCAUGUGACUUCAUCUGACGUCGUUUUGCCCUACUUGGUUUAACCUCCAUGACCCGAACUCCUUAAACCCACCUCCAUGUCUCUCUUCAUCUUCUUCCAACAAUCGUACCCUCACGUGCUUGAAAUGAAAUUCAAUCUCUCACAUCACGUGUGUCCCUCCUAACACCCCCAAAUCUCCUUACCUCUGCUUUCUUUGUUCAAACCCUAAUUUCAAGUUAUUCGAUUUUAAGAAACCCAGAAAAUCUCAAUCCAAAAAUGGGUCGGAGCCCGGGUUUGUGUCUGGGUCUGGAUCCGACGCAGAAAAUUGACAGGUUAUUGAUGAGAAGGCUGCUAGGAUUCUGACGUUAGCAGCGAGGAUUACGAAGAUUUCGAUGAAUAAAGUGGUUGUUCAAUCGUCAAGUGAAGCUGAGAGAAAAGUUAGAGAAUCUGCAUUGGCUAAGAAAAGAGCUAAUGAAGCAAUUGACUAUGUCAUGAGUAUUUCUUCAAAGUUUAAUAAUAUCAAACCGUAGAAGGUUAUUAACAAUAAUGUUGUUGUUCCGGUUUUAGCUCCUGAUCCAGCCCCGAAUUUAAUCCCAAUUAAGGUAGAGAAGAUUGGUGGGGUCUGCAAUGGUGGUGUUGGUCAAGUCAGUAAUGGAAACGGCCCAGUCGCGAUGGCGGUGGAGAGUAAUGGAGGGAGUAAUGAGAAUCUUAAUCAUAUUGGGAAGGAUCAAAUUGAUAAUGGAGGGAGUAAUGAGAAUCUUAAUCCAAUUGAUAAUCAUAUUGGGAAGGAUCAAAUUGAUAAUGGUGGUGUUGAUCAAAAAAAGGUAACCAGAGACAAGCAACAGCGCAUGCAGAUAAGUUGAGAAACCAGACCUUUGAAUUCCACCAUCAACAAAAACAGAAGAACGCAGGGACAAAGGAGGAACACACAUGUUGGUAAUUACAAGUUUUUCAGGUCUAUCAUUCAAAUAGAGUAGCUCGCAAUCCUGCAAGAUGAUAAAUAUUUAAUUAAAAAACUAAUAGAAGUUUUAAUAUCUUGUCCAUAAGCAAUUUAUGAAAAAUUUUAUUCGGCUACAGAUGUAUAAGUUUUCACACCCUGCAAAACAAUUGUGCAGAACCACACUCUAGUGAUCAUUAAGAAUCUGGUUUGCAAAAUUCAUAGCAUAAAUAUUCACCUGAUCCAGCAUUUGCUUAAAUAAUAACAAUGCAUCAUGAGGAUUUAUAAAGGAAA
Molecule: long non-coding RNA, 3096 nt
Organism: Amaranthus tricolor (Joseph's coat)
Lineage: Eukaryota; Viridiplantae; Streptophyta; Magnoliopsida; Caryophyllales; Amaranthaceae
Exons: 2
Source: RefSeq, a predicted model, not a curated record